This 275-nucleotide ribosomal RNA is filed under the name uncultured bacterium. Its description in RNAcentral is "partial 16S ribosomal RNA". It matches the Rfam family "Bacterial small subunit ribosomal RNA", at positions 338 to 611 of the family's 1533-position model. The record is from RNAcentral.
CCUACGGGAGGCUGCAGUAGGGAAUAUUGGUCAAUGGAGGCAACUCUGAACCAGCCAUGCCGCGUGCAGGAAGAAGGUCCUCUGGAUUGUAAACUGCUUUUAUAAGGGACGAAAACGGGCAUGCGUGCCAAAUUGACGGUACUUUAUGAAUAAGCCACGGCUAACUACGUGCCAGCAGCCGCGGUAAUACGUAGGUGGCGAGCGUUAUCCGGAUUUAUUGGGUUUAAAGGGAGCGUAGGCGGCUUAAUAAGUCAGUGGUGAAAGGUAGCAGCUUA